RNAcentral lists this ribosomal RNA (429 nucleotides) under Bacteroidota bacterium. Its description in RNAcentral is "Bacteroidetes bacterium partial 16S ribosomal RNA". It matches the Rfam family "Bacterial small subunit ribosomal RNA", at positions 355 to 776 of the family's 1533-position model. Lineage: Bacteria; Pseudomonadati; Bacteroidota. The record is from RNAcentral.
UAGGGAAUCUUCGGCAAUGGGGGGAACCCUGACCGAGCAACGCCGCGUGAGUGAAGAAGGUUUUCGGAUCGUAAAGCUCUGUUGUUAAGGAAGAACGAGUGUGAGAAUGGAAAGUUCAUGCUGUGACGGUACUUAACCAGAAAGGGACGGCUAACUACGUGCCAGCAGCCGCGGUAAUACGUAGGUCCCGAGCGUUGUCCGGAUUUAUUGGGCGUAAAGCGAGCGCAGGCGGUUAGAAAAGUCUGAAGUGAAAGGCAGUGGCUCAACCAUUGUAGGCUUUGGAAACUGUUUAACUUGAGUGCAGAAGGGGAGAGUGGAAUUCCAUGUGUAGCGGUGAAAUGCGUAGAUAUAUGGAAGAACACCGGUGGCGAAAGCGGCUCUCUGGUCUGUAGCUGACGCUGAGGCUCGAAAGCGUGGGGAGCGAACAGG